This 343-nucleotide unclassified non-coding RNA is filed under the name soil metagenome. RNAcentral describes it as "partial contains 5.8S ribosomal RNA, internal transcribed spacer 2, and large subunit ribosomal RNA". The stretch from base 1 to 120 matches the Rfam family "5.8S ribosomal RNA", at positions 35 to 154 of the family's 154-position model. The record is from RNAcentral.
GAUGAAGAACGUAGCGAAAUGCGAUAGGUAAUGUGAAUUGCAGAAUCCAGUGAAUCAUCGAAUCUUUGAACGCACAUUGCGCCCGCCAGCAUUCUGGCGGGCAUGCCUGUUCGAGCGUCAUUUCAACCCUCGACCUCCCUUUGGGGAAGUCGGCGUUGGGGACCGGCAGCACACCGCCGGCCCUGAAAUGGAGUGGCGGCCCGUCCGCGGCGACCUCUGCGUAGUAAACCAACUCGCACCGGAACCCCGACGUGGCCACGCCGUAAAACACCCAACUUCUGAACGUUGACCUCGAAUCAGGUAGGACUACCCGCUGAACUUAAGCAUAUCAAUAAGCGGAGGA